This 288-nucleotide unclassified non-coding RNA is filed under the name fungal sp. Its description in RNAcentral is "partial internal transcribed spacer region". The stretch from base 1 to 46 matches the Rfam family "Eukaryotic small subunit ribosomal RNA", at positions 1786 to 1831 of the family's 1831-position model. The record is from RNAcentral. Lineage: Eukaryota; Fungi.
AAGUCGUAACAAGGUUUCCGUAGGUGAACCUGCGGAAGGAUCAUUACAGAAAUAAACUUGGUGGGUUGUUGCUGGCCCCUCGGGGCAUUCGUGCACGCCUAUCAUCUUUAUCUUUCCACCUGUGCACCCUAUGUAGGAGGACCGCUCACCGUGGGGGCUGCUAGUUCCCCGUUGGUAGCGUAGCCCUACGUAUCUUAUUUUACCACAUGAAUGUUGUCGAACGCAUAGACAUGGGCUUUAAGCCUAUAACAAUCUAUACAACUUUCAGCAACGGAUCUCUUGGCUCUC